AAACCGUUCAGGGGUAAACCUGAGAAACCCGAAAGAUCGAAUGGGGAGAUUCAGCGUCAGCGGCGUUGGCUCGGCGAAGUGGACGAUGUCGCGGACUACGGUAUCGCGACACGUUAUCACUAUGCCGCGUCCGGCGUCGUCGUCGUGCACUUCUCCCCUAGUAGAACGUCGCGACCCGUUGGGUGCCGGUCUACGGCCCGUGGUGUAAGACUGUCGCGUCGCUUCGGCGCACGCGGCAGACCCUCGGUUGCCCGGCCGGCUGCCCGGCGGUAUAACGCACGGUAUCUGGCCGCAAUUUUUGAACUGCGUCGGGCCCGCCGCAAGCGAGGCCAGUGUCCCGGAGGUACGGACCCGGUGCCGUCCCCGAGCCUGGCCAGCUGUUGGCAGGCGGAGUCCUCAGACGGGCAGAAAUAAUGGUACCGGUCGGCGACGCUACUGCUUUGGGUACUCUCAGGACCCGUCUUGAAACACGGACCAAGGAGUCUAACAUGUGCGCGAGUCAUUGGGAUCUAAAAGCCUAAAGGCGCAAUGAAAGUGAAGGUCGGCUUCGCGUCGACCGAGGGAGGAUGGGCCGCGCUACGACGCGGCUCCGCACUCCCGGGGCGUCUCGUUCUCAUUGCGAGAAGAGGCGCACCCAGAGCGUACACGUUGG
This 652-nucleotide ribosomal RNA is filed under the name Ancistrocerus scoticus. Its description in RNAcentral is "partial large subunit ribosomal RNA". It matches the Rfam family "Eukaryotic large subunit ribosomal RNA", at positions 402 to 812 of the family's 3401-position model. Lineage: Eukaryota; Metazoa; Arthropoda; Insecta; Hymenoptera; Vespidae. The record is from RNAcentral.